RNAcentral lists this transfer RNA (68 nucleotides) under Axianassa australis. RNAcentral describes it as "tRNA-Ser". Lineage: Eukaryota; Metazoa; Arthropoda; Malacostraca; Decapoda; Axianassidae. The record is from RNAcentral.
GAGAUGUGUAGAUUCAAGAUAAUGCUUCUAACAUUCUUCUUAAGCGGUUAAAAUCCGUUUACAUCUCU